AGGCAGCUGAUUGGGCCCGAUUUGGGGGGGGGGGGGGAAGGACUGUGGCGCUGGGCAGGGUGACGAGAGGAGAGGGGAGGAGCGGGGAGGCGAUCGCAGCCUCUGGUCCCGCGGGGGGUUGGGGGGGUGCACCGGGGAAGGCGGGGGACCCGGGACUUCCAAGUGUGACCGGAUGCCUGGGGCACGUUGCAUUGUCCUGGUUUCUGGAACCUGUAGGUUCGAGGGGCCAAGGCUUCCUGCAAUGCGAUGCUGAUGCUGAGUGGCCUGAGCCGGGCUCCUGGGCAGACGAUCAAGCUGGGUCACCAGCCCUCUGGUCUAGCUCAGGCAGCUGCCAGAGUGCCUUCCACCCUAGGGCCCUGGGAAGGCCAAAGCCAUGAAGUCAGUCCCCAACUUUCCGGUUAUCCUGGAGUGACAUCUCAACGCUGGCGGUUCUCAGUGCUGUGACGUCGCAGAAAAAUUCACAGGGUGGGCGGACCAAGAGCCCCCUGCUUAAACAGCCCCGGGGCGUCAUCAAGUGGGGGCCACAGGGAACCCGGAGAUGCACUGGGCUUCCUGCCCUGUCAUUGUUUAUGUCAGAUUAAUUUCUUGGUGCGCAGGCUGUCUGCAAGCAGACAGAGGAGGCCGGCAGCAUUAUGACCGCAUUGCCUCUGGGGGUUUGGGUUCAAGGGAGAGACAAGGGCUGUCUCUCUGUCCUCUCUUUCCCAGCUUCCAAUAGGUAGAUGAGGCGUUUUGAGAAAACAGUUUCAUUCUUUUCCACCCCUACUUCUCUCUACGACAAUUUUCUCCCAAGGCCCUUUCACUGGUGUAAAAGGAGUAAAUAAACUCUUAAACCCA
Molecule: long non-coding RNA, 834 nt
Organism: Bubalus bubalis (water buffalo)
Lineage: Eukaryota; Metazoa; Chordata; Mammalia; Artiodactyla; Bovidae
Exons: 2
Source: RefSeq, a predicted model, not a curated record